Non-coding RNA from Schistosoma mansoni, 45 nucleotides. The record is from Rfam. Lineage: Eukaryota; Metazoa; Platyhelminthes; Trematoda; Strigeidida; Schistosomatidae.
AUCCAGCUGACGAAACCCAAAUAGGACGAAACGCGCGUCCUGGAU